Molecule: unclassified non-coding RNA, 253 nt
Filed under: uncultured Flavobacteriales bacterium
Lineage: Bacteria; Pseudomonadati; Bacteroidota; Flavobacteriia; Flavobacteriales
Description: contains 16S-23S intergenic spacer region
Rfam family: Bacterial small subunit ribosomal RNA
Source: RNAcentral
UACGGAGGGUGCAAGCGUUGUCCGGAUUUAUUGGGUUUAAAGGGUGCGUAGGCGGACGUAUAAGUCAGUGGUGAAAGCCUACAGCUUAACUGUAGAACUGCCAUUGAUACUGUAUGUCUUGAAUUUAGUCGAAGUAGGCGGAAUAUGACAUGUAGCGGUGAAAUGCUUAGAUAUGUCAUAGAACACCGAUAGCGAAGGCAGCUUACUAGGCUUGAAUUGACGCUCAUGGACGAAAGCGUGGGGAGCGAACAGG